AAUACCCAUAAAAUACCUAUAAUUUUUCGGGUCCAUAUCGGGUCCGGGUCGGAUUCGGGUACUUAGGAUCUAAAAAAGACAUGACAUACCCAAUUCUAUCAAAUUUAGUUAAUAUUUGUCAUAUAUAUCUAAAAUUUUACAAAAUAACCUAAAUGAAACUAUUAAUAAUUAACAUAAAACAUUUUUAAACUCUAAAUUUUACAUUUUAAAGCUUCAUAUUACUUAAACAAUAUUACAAAAUAAUAACAAAUGUUGUUAACAAAAGAUAUUUCAACUAAAUCAUAAAAUAAUAUAUAUAAAAUAGAACACAAAAACAUUAUAGUUUUAGAUAUACAUGUUUUUAAGUUGGGUACAAAUCGGUUUUUAUCGGGUCGGAUCUAUUCGGGUCGGUUCUUUUCGGGUCCGGGUCUAUUCGGGUCGGUUCCUUUCGGUUCCAAAUCCAUUCGGAUACAAAAAAUUAGACCCAAAAGGUACUUAUAAAUUUCCGAUGCGGGUCUGGAUCGGGUAUUUUUAGGUCGGUUCCGGUUCGGAUCUUCGGGUCCAGGUUAAAAUGCCCAGGCCUACUUGCAUCAGCAGCAACAACAAACAAAAUCAGUUUCCUUUUAACUCUUAUGCGGAAAACCCAAAACCAAACUAAAUAUCUGUUUUGCAAAUACAUAAAAUUACUCUGUUUUAUUAAUACAGAGGAUCAUUCCUUCAAGAAGUGAUGUUAAGUGACUUAAGUUGCUGCAAUUAAUUUAUCCUAUAAUAUAGAUUUUGUUUAGUUCUGGUUGUAAUUAAAAGACUUGGAUAUAUAAAAGUUGGAAGUUGAAUUUCCUCUGUUUUCUGAAACCAAAAAUUUUAAAUCUAACUCACUUUUUGGUGGUCCAUAUAUUUCACAAAUAGAAACUUGACUGAAAGGUAAAACUACAUUCCUGCCCUGACUAAAAAAAUAUAGAGCUGCAGUUUAUAAUUUAUACAACCACACACACAUAAUCAGUCCCAAAUGAGUACUAGAGUCUAGAGGAAUCUCUGGCUAUAAUCCAGAGAGCAUGUAUUUCACGUGAUCAGUUUCGCCUACCAGUGUUGCUAUUUGAGGACGAACACUAAGUACCAGUCCAUAAGUCAUGUCAUGUUCUGAGCAGCCAUUCUUUCGCAAACACUAGACAGAGAUUUGAGAUUGCAUCGUAUAAGUGCUUCCACAAAGUAACAAGUCUCGUCUUUGGUGUUCCCUUCUGGUACAUCCACCACAAA
Molecule: long non-coding RNA, 1233 nt
Organism: Brassica napus (rape)
Lineage: Eukaryota; Viridiplantae; Streptophyta; Magnoliopsida; Brassicales; Brassicaceae
Exons: 2
Source: RefSeq, a predicted model, not a curated record